This 253-nucleotide ribosomal RNA is filed under the name uncultured bacterium. RNAcentral describes it as "partial 16S ribosomal RNA". It matches the Rfam family "Bacterial small subunit ribosomal RNA", at positions 524 to 776 of the family's 1533-position model. The record is from RNAcentral.
UACGGAGGGUGCAAGCGUUAUCCGGAUUCACUGGGUUUAAAGGGUGCGUAGGUGGGCAGGUAAGUCAGUGGUGAAAUCUCCGGGCUUAACCCGGAAACUGCCAUUGAUACUAUUUGUCUUGAAUACUGUGGAGGUCAGCGGAAUAUGUCAUGUAGCGGUGAAAUGCUUAGAUAUGACAUAGAACACCAAUUGCGAAGGCAGCUUACUACACAAUGAUUGACGCUGAGGCACGAAAGCGUGGGGAUCAAACAGG